This 704-nucleotide ribosomal RNA is filed under the name uncultured Actinomycetales bacterium. Its description in RNAcentral is "bacterial SSU rRNA". It matches the Rfam family "Bacterial small subunit ribosomal RNA", at positions 60 to 777 of the family's 1533-position model. The record is from RNAcentral. Lineage: Bacteria; Bacillati; Actinomycetota; Actinomycetes; Actinomycetales.
AGUCGAACGGAAAGGCCCUGCUUGCAGGGUACUCGAGUGGCGAACGGGUGAGUAACACGUGGGUGAUCUGCCCUGCACUUCGGGAUAAGCCUGGGAAACUGGGUCUAAUACCGGAUAGGAGCCAUUUUUAGUGUGAUGGUUGGAAAGUUUUUUCGGUGUAGGAUGAGCUCGCGGCCUAUCAGCUUGUUGGUGGGGUAAUGGCCUACCAAGGCGGCGACGGGUAGCCGGCCUGAGAGGGUGGACGGCCACAUUGGGACUGAGAUACGGCCCAGACUCCUACGGGAGGCAGCAGUGGGGAAUAUUGCACAAUGGGCGCAAGCCUGAUGCAGCGACGCCGCGUGGGGGAUGACGGCCUUCGGGUUGUAAACUCCUUUCGCUAGGGACGAAGCUUUUUGUGACGGUACCUAGAUAAGAAGCACCGGCUAACUACGUGCCAGCAGCCGCGGUAAUACGUAGGGUGCGAGCGUUGUCCGGAAUUACUGGGCGUAAAGGGCUCGUAGGUGGUUUGUCGCGUCGUCUGUGAAAUUCCGGGGCUUAACUCCGGGCGUGCAGGCGAUACGGGCAUAACUUGAGUACUGUGGGGGUAACUGGAAUUCCUGGUGUAGCGGUGAAAUGCGCAGAUAUCAGGAGGAACACCGAUGGCGAAGGCAGGUUACUGGGCAGUUACUGACGCUGAGGAGCGGAAGCAUGGGUAGCGAACAGGA